CCUCGGGAGGCAGCAGUGGGGAAUCUUAGACAAUGGGGGCAACCCUGAUCUAGCCAUGCCGCGUGAGUGAUGAAGGCCUUAGGGUCGUAAAGCUCUUUCGCCUGUGAUGAUAAUGACAGUAGCAGGUAAAGAAACCCCGGCUAACUCCGUGCCAGCAGCCGCGGUAAUACGGAGGGGGUUAGCGUUGUUCGGAAUUACUGGGCGUAAAGCGCGCGUAGGCGGAUUAGAAAGUUGGGGGUGAAAUCCCGGGGCUCAACCCCGGAACUGCCUCCAAAACUGCUAGUCUAGAGUUCGAGAGAGGUGAGUGGAAUUCCGAGUGUAGAGGUGAAAUUCGUAGAUAUUCGGAGGAACACCAGUGGCGAAGGCGGCUCACUGGCUCGAUACUGACGCUGAGGUGCGAAAGUGUGGGGAGCAAACAGGAUUAGAUACCCUGGUAGUCCACACCGUAAACGAUGAAUGCCAGUCGUCGGAUAGUAUACUAUUCGGUGACACACCUAACGGAUUAAGCAUUCCGCCUGGGGAGUACGGUCGCAAGAUUAAAACUCAAAUGAAUUGACGG
Molecule: ribosomal RNA, 559 nt
Filed under: uncultured bacterium
Lineage: Bacteria
Description: bacterial SSU rRNA
Rfam family: Bacterial small subunit ribosomal RNA
Source: RNAcentral